UACGUAGGUGGCAAGCGUUGUCCGGAAUUAUUGGGCGUAAAGCGCGCGCAGGUGGUUCCUUAAGUCUGAUGUGAAAGCCCACGGCUCAACCGUGGAGGGUCAUUGGAAACUGGGGAACUUGAGUGCAGAAGAGGAAAGUGGAAUUCCAAGUGUAGCGGUGAAAUGCGUAGAGAUUUGGAGGAACACCAGUGGCGAAGGCGACCACCUGGACUGAUACUGACACUGAGGUGCGAAAGCGUGGGGAGCAAACAGG
RNAcentral lists this ribosomal RNA (253 nucleotides) under uncultured bacterium. RNAcentral's name for it is "partial 16S ribosomal RNA". It matches the Rfam family "Bacterial small subunit ribosomal RNA", at positions 524 to 776 of the family's 1533-position model. The record is from RNAcentral.